Molecule: ribosomal RNA, 574 nt
Filed under: uncultured bacterium
Lineage: Bacteria
Description: partial 16S ribosomal RNA
Rfam family: Bacterial small subunit ribosomal RNA
Source: RNAcentral
UGGGGAAUUUUGGACAAUGGGCGAAAGCCUGAUCCAGCAAUGCCGCGUGUGUGAAGAAGGCCUUCGGGUUGUAAAGCACUUUUGUCCGGAAAGAAAUCCUUGGCUCUAAUACAGUCGGGGGAUGACGGUACCGGAAGAAUAAGCACCGGCUAACUACGUGCCAGCAGCCGCGGUAAUACGUAGGGUGCAAGCGUUAAUCGGAAUUACUGGGCGUAAAGCGUGCGCAGGCGGUUUGCUAAGACCGAUGUGAAAUCCCCGGGCUCAACCUGGGAACUGCAUUGGUGACUGGCAGGCUAGAGUAUGGCAGAGGGGGGUAGAAUUCCACGUGUAGCAGUGAAAUGCGUAGAGAUGUGGAGGAAUACCGAUGGCGAAGGCAGCCCCCUGGGCCAAUACUGACGCUCAUGCACGAAAGCGUGGGGGAGCAAACAGGAUUAGAUACCCUGGUAGUCCACGCCCUAAACGAUGUCAACUAGUUGUUGGGGAUUCAUUUCCUUAGUAACGUAGCUAACGCGUGAAGUUGACCGCCUGGGGAGUACGGUCGCAAGAUUAAAACUCAAAGGAAUUGACGGGGUCC